Molecule: ribosomal RNA, 709 nt
Filed under: uncultured bacterium
Lineage: Bacteria
Description: bacterial SSU rRNA
Rfam family: Bacterial small subunit ribosomal RNA
Source: RNAcentral
AGUCGAGGGGCAUCAGGAAGAAGCUUGCUUUCUUUGCUGGCGACCGGCGCACGGGUGAGUAACACGUAUCCAACCUGCCCUUUACUCGGGGAUAGCCUUUCGAAAGAAAGAUUAAUACCCGAUAGCAUAAUGAUUCCGCAUGGUUUCAUCAUUAAAGGAUUCCGGUAAAGGAUGGGGAUGCGUUCCAUUAGGUUGUUGGUGAGGUAACGGCUCACCAAGCCUUCGAUGGAUAGGGGUUCUGAGAGGAAGGUCCCCCACAUUGGAACUGAGACACGGUCCAAACUCCUACGGGAGGCAGCAGUGAGGAAUAUUGGUCAAUGGGCGUUAGCCUGAACCAGCCAAGUAGCGUGAAGGAUGAAGGCUCUAUGGGUCGUAAACUUCUUUUAUAUAAGAAUAAAGUGCAGUAUGUAUACUGUUUUGUAUGUAUUAUAUGAAUAAGGAUCGGCUAACUCCGUGCCAGCAGCCGCGGUAAUACGGAGGAUCCGAGCGUUAUCCGGAUUUAUUGGGUUUAAAGGGAGCGUAGGUGGACUGGUAAGUCAGUUGUGAAAGUUUGCGGCUCAACCGUAAAAUUGCAGUUGAUACUGUCAGUCUUGAGUACAGUAGAGGUGGGCGGAAUUCGUGGUGUAGCGGUGAAAUGCUUAGAUAUCACGAAGAACUCCGAUUGCGAAGGCAGCUCACUGGACUGCAACUGACACUGAUGCUCGAAAGU